GACAUCGAAAGCUUGCUUUUGAUGGGCGUCGACCGGCGCACGGGUGAGUAACGCGUAUCCAACCUGCCCACCACUUGGGGAUAACCUUGCGAAAGUAAGACUAAUACCCAAUGACGUCUCUAGAAGACAUCUGAAAGGGAUUAAAGAUUUAUCGGUGAUGGAUGGGGAUGCGUCUGAUUAGCUUGUUGGCGGGGUAACGGCCCACCAAGGCUACGAUCAGUAGGGGUUCUGAGAGGAAGGUCCCCCACAUUGGAACUGAGACACGGUCCAAACUCCUACGGGAGGCAGCAGUGAGGAAUAUUGGUCAAUGGACGAGAGUCUGAACCAGCCAAGUAGCGUGCAGGAUGACGGCCCUAUGGGUUGUAAACUGCUUUUAUACGGGGAUAAAGUGAGUCACGUGUGGCUUAUUGCAGGUACCUUAUGAAUAAGGACCGGCUAAUUCCGUGCCAGCAGCCGCGGUAAUACGGAAGGUCCGGGCGUUAUCCGGAUUUAUUGGGUUUAAAGGGAGCGUAGGCCGGAGAUUAAGCGUGUUGUGAAAUGUAGACGCUCAACGUCUGCACUGCAGCGCGAACUGGUUUCCUUGAGUACGCACAAAGUGGGCGGAAUUCGUGGUGUAGCGGUGAAAUGCUUAGAUAUCACGAAGAACUCCGAUUGCGAAGGCAGCUCACUGGAGCGCAACUGACGCUGAAGCUCGAAAGUGCGGGUAUCGAACAGGAUUAGAUACCCUGGUAGUCCGCACGGUAAACGAUGGAUGCCCGCUGUUGGUCUGAAUAGGUCAGCGGCC
RNAcentral lists this ribosomal RNA (784 nucleotides) under uncultured bacterium. RNAcentral's name for it is "bacterial SSU rRNA". It matches the Rfam family "Bacterial small subunit ribosomal RNA", at positions 68 to 848 of the family's 1533-position model. The record is from RNAcentral.